This 2549-nucleotide long non-coding RNA is filed under the name Marmota monax (woodchuck). The record is from RNAcentral. Lineage: Eukaryota; Metazoa; Chordata; Mammalia; Rodentia; Sciuridae.
ACUAGUCCUAAACCUAGCCCUCAUUCUAGCUCUAAACNUAUUCUCACGGUUGCUGUGCACCAGGAGUUCUAUCAUGACCUACUCUAGUCUUCUGCUGGGGAUCUCACCGGCUAUAGUCAAGAUGUCAGCAGAAGCUGCAAGCUGAUCUGAGGCUGGGAAUCCUCUUUCAAGAUCACACAGUUGUUGGCAGAAUUCAGCACUUUGAGGUUGGAGGACUGAAGUCCCCAACUAUGAAAGGCUGCCUGCAGUUCUAUGGCAGUCAGCUAUCUUCAACAGAUGGUUUAUUUCACAGCAACAUGCUUUUCUAAGGCUGGUGAAUGAGUUUUUCACUCCAGCCUGCUACAAUUUAGCCUUUUAUAAUGUAUCAUACUCUUAGAUGUUCCUUGUUAUUACCUUUGCUAUAUUCUAUUGGCCAGAUCAAGUCAGUUUCUGCCCAUUGUCAUGGAAUUGCAACUACAAAAUAUCUUAAAUACUAGGACACAGGAAUUAUUGGGAGUCAUCUAGGGUGUGUCCACCACACUUUACCUGCUUUAGUAAAUUGACCAGAGUACAUUUUGUUCAUCAAUUUUGUCUUAAAUGCAUAUCAUAAUACACAUAAUAACAAAAUGACCUGUAUUCAUGUUUUUCUCCUCCAUCCUAGAGUCACUUAAAUUCCUAUCUCCAGAAUAACUUAACAGGUAUUUACUGUUUUUCUAAAUAAAUUAUGUAAUUAAUAGAUAAAUAAAAUAAUGAAUGUGCAAAUUAUUUAUAUUUAUUAAAAAUAUCAAUACAAGACAAUGUGAGUGGUACAGACGUAAGGCCUUUCAUGCCAUUAAGAACAUUGGAUUUGAGCAAACUUUGAGAUGUGGUAGCAUGGUAGAGCUGAUGAAUCACAAAAAAUAAUAGCAGAAGUAGAGGUAGGAAUAAAUACUUAGUUCCACAAAACAAGCAGAAGGUUCUGAUAGGGUGUACACAGCAAGAUGCUUCUAGUCAUAUGAGGCCCCAGAGGCCAUCUUUACAAGUCUCUUGUUUACAUUUUAAAUCACAGGUUAGAUUUCAGAAAGAUAGGGCAAAAGUAUUACAGCUAUUCAUGUUUAAAACUAUCCUUUAGAAACCUCUUUCUGUGCCAGACAAUAAUAUUUCCACAUCUUUCAAAAUGGCUAUAACAUAUAUUUGAUGAAAUCAGGACUCCUGAACAAUUGUUUUAAUUUUGCCCAUGUAAUUUCAAAUUUCAUAUACAUGAAUUACUCAAUAUUUUUUAUAUUUAUCAUGUUUAUAAAGUUUUUUGACCAAUGCAUAAACCAUGCACAGUACUUUUACAUCAAUUUGUGUUACUUAAUAAAUUAAAUGCAGCCGUUCCCCUUCUCUGUGACAACCUGUGUCAAGUAUUUUUAAUACUUAACUCACUAAUUGGAAUUCCUUCCUACUCUUUCCUUUUAUUAACUAACCUCUUGGUGAGAGACCAACCAGCUGUUACUUUCAACUUACUUUUAAACAGGUUUUUAAAAGUGUGGUAUUCCAGACUUCUAAAUGCUCAGUCUUUCAAGCUAGCAAAACUAUCUGUAUAUAGGCCAAUUAAGGAAGCAGAAAGCAUAGCCAUGGUUUCAUAAAUUACAUUUGGUAUUAGACAACAUCCCAAAGAUAACCUCUAUCCCUCCCCUCUUAACUCCCAUAUCUCCUUUUCCAAUUUUCUUCCAAUUUAAUCUUAUUCUCAUAAUGCUUAAAUCUGAAAACUCUGAUCAGUAUAAAAGUUCAAACUCCUGGAAUCUCUAUUUAGAACACUUGACAUGCCCCAAAUAUCAGCCUCUUAAAUGUAUUUAUUGCACUCCCAUUGUAGGAGGAAACACUUUGCAUUCUCUCAGCCUGCCACUCCCACCACCCACUCUACAAGUCAAAAUCAAAGCCACAAUUUUGUUGCCAUGUUAACCUCAGGAAGGACAAUGCAUCUCUAAAAUUAAGUAACAAAAGUUCAUUUUUUAUUGAUCAUUCAAUCAUGAACCUGUUUUCCAGUAAAAUGAAAAGAUGAUCUAAAUCAGUCUCCUUUGCUAAAGCAUCUCAGAGAUCUUUCAUCUUAAUUAUUACAUGAUUGCAGCUGCUGCCAUUUCAUUCUAGGUGAGUCAUUCCAAGGCAUGUCACUCUGAUCACCUUCUACUUGUCACCCUUGAUUGAUCCAGUCCUCUAAUCACUUUGCUUUUGCUUAACUACAUCAAGUAGCUGUUGCUAUGACAAUUCAAACUGUAAGAACCUCACUUGUUUAAAAACUGUCAAAAUCCUUAUAUAUUUUAUGGAAUCAAUUUUCUCAGUAUACUCACAAGAAUUUUGCCUUCAAAAGUCAAUGGAGUUAGAUAAUUGAAAAAGUUUCACAUAGUGGGUAUUGAAUUAAACUUUUUUAAAUAGAAGGUGGUUUGUGCUAGCAAUCAGGAUCAAAUUAAGUGGCACUCAAUAAAAAAAUGUGUAAUUUUUUUUUUGAAAGUUUAGUAAGAAUGACACUAGUUUACAAAAGAAAGCCUUGUUAAUCAAGUAAAUACUAUAUAAAUAUUGCUUAACUAAAUGCAAAUACAAGUUUUUCU